Molecule: ribosomal RNA, 253 nt
Filed under: uncultured bacterium
Lineage: Bacteria
Description: partial 16S ribosomal RNA
Rfam family: Bacterial small subunit ribosomal RNA
Source: RNAcentral
UACAGAGGGUGCAAGCGUUGUUCGGAAUCACUGGGCGUAAAGCGCGCGCAGGCGGACUUGUGCGUCUGGAGUGAAAUUUCGCCGCUCAACGGCGAAGCUGCUUUGGAUACGGCAAGUCUGGGGACCGGUAGAGGCUGGUAGAAUUGCAGGUGUAGCGGUGGAAUGCGUAGAGAUCUGCAAGAAUACCCGUGGCGAAGGCGGCCAGCUGGGCCGGAUCCGACGCUGAGGCGCGAAAGCGUGGGGAGCAAACAGG